This 77-nucleotide transfer RNA is filed under the name Promethearchaeota archaeon. RNAcentral describes it as "Candidatus Lokiarchaeota archaeon (microbial mat metagenome) tRNA-Ile". It matches the Rfam family "tRNA". Rfam says of the family: Transfer RNA (tRNA) molecules are approximately 80 nucleotides in length. Their secondary structure includes four short double-helical elements and three loops (D, anti-codon, and T loops). Lineage: Archaea; Promethearchaeati; Promethearchaeota. The record is from RNAcentral.
CCGCCAGUAGCUCAGUUGGUGAGAGCGCAAGUCUUAUAAACUUGAGGUCGCUGGUUCAAGCCCAGCCUGGCGGACCA